Molecule: ribosomal RNA, 468 nt
Filed under: uncultured bacterium
Lineage: Bacteria
Description: partial 16S ribosomal RNA
Rfam family: Bacterial small subunit ribosomal RNA
Source: RNAcentral
GACGAACGCUGGCGGCGUGCUUAACACAUGCAAGUCGAACGGAAAGGCCCUGCCUUUGUGGGGUGCUCGAGUGGCGAACGGGUGAGUAACACGUGAGUAACCUGCCCUUGACUUGGGGAUAACUUCAGGAAACUGGGGCUAAUACCGGAUAGGAGCUCCUGCUGCAUGGUGGGGGUUGGAAAGUUUCGGCGGUUGGGGAUGGACUCGCGGCUUAUCAGCUUGUUGGUGGGGUAGUGGCUUACCAAGGCUUUGACGGGUAGCCGGCCUGAGAGGGUGACCGGCCACAUUGGGACUGAGAUACGGCCCAGACUCCUACGGGAGGCAGCAGUGGGGAAUAUUGCACAAUGGGCGGAAGCCUGAUGCAGCAACGCCGCGUGCGGGAUGACGGCCUUCGGGUUGUAAACCGCUUUCGCCUGUGACGAAGCGUGAGUGACGGUAAUGGGUAAAGAAGCACCGGCUAACUACGUG